Long non-coding RNA from Anguilla rostrata (American eel), 540 nucleotides. RefSeq lists it as uncharacterized. The record is from RefSeq and is a predicted model, not a curated record. The transcript is spliced from 3 exons. Lineage: Eukaryota; Metazoa; Chordata; Actinopteri; Anguilliformes; Anguillidae.
UUUGAACUUGAUUGUCAUUGAAGUCUACUGACGUUUGCUGGGGGCAAAGGAAAUGGCACCGACCGAUGGGGAUUCUGCUGCGCGUCAAGACGUGUCAGUUCAUCCAGCCCAUGCGAUAACACAGAUGCCACUUUGUCUGGACGCACUGCUUUUCAGCAUGGGCCCGUUCCCUGAGACAAGGUUUGGAAUGACUCAUUCUCCCAUGGAGCCAGGCUUCUUCUCAGGGUCUGUAAAUUCUCCAGCAGAUUUUUGUGGAAUGAUGUUGUUCUGCACUUCUUCCAGGACCGUCCAGCAAUUAUGUAAGAUGGGACUGUAUUUUUGUACUUUUUUGCUCUUUUCAAAAAACCGCAGCUUCAAGGACACAGAACCUUUCAGUUUCCUUAUGCCUUGAAUUCUGAAUUUCUACAUAUAAUUCAAGAUAAGGAUUUACUCUUCAGUAUGUAGAAAGUGGACUGCAAUGGAAAGAAAGACAGUCCUUGCAAAGACUGCUAUGGCCGGUCUGUCAGAAUUGGAUACAAGAAAAUUAAACAGAAAACAGAA